This 71-nucleotide transfer RNA is filed under the name Ictidomys tridecemlineatus (thirteen-lined ground squirrel). RNAcentral's name for it is "Spermophilus tridecemlineatus (thirteen-lined ground squirrel) tRNA". It matches the Rfam family "tRNA". From Rfam's summary of the family: Transfer RNA (tRNA) molecules are approximately 80 nucleotides in length. Their secondary structure includes four short double-helical elements and three loops (D, anti-codon, and T loops). The record is from Rfam by way of RNAcentral. Lineage: Eukaryota; Metazoa; Chordata; Mammalia; Rodentia; Sciuridae.
GGGGAUGUAGCUUAGUGGUGGAGCACUUGUCUUGCAUGCAUGAGGCUCUGGAUUCAAUCCCAGCACUGCAA